GGGCGGUUAGCUCAGUGGUAGAGCAUCGGCCUUACAAGCCGGGGGUCGCAGGUUCAAAACCUGCACCGCCCACCA
This 75-nucleotide transfer RNA is filed under the name Deltaproteobacteria bacterium. Its description in RNAcentral is "tRNA-Val". It matches the Rfam family "tRNA". Rfam says of the family: Transfer RNA (tRNA) molecules are approximately 80 nucleotides in length. Their secondary structure includes four short double-helical elements and three loops (D, anti-codon, and T loops). Lineage: Bacteria; Pseudomonadati; Myxococcota; Myxococcia. RNAcentral also lists the same sequence under 1 other name. The record is from RNAcentral.